GCCCGGUUCUCCCGAGGGCCGCCAUGUUGGAUCACAAUCUCCUCGUCCUCAGGAGAGGUCACCUGGAGGCAGGAGGGGGGGCGGCGGGAGCAGAGGUUAUCGAGAGGUGGGUGUGGCUAAUAUCUGACCAUGGUGAAGUCGUGUGCUGCCAUCUCCUGCACCAGUCCAUUUUGGAAUAUUUCCUUUCAUAAGUUUUCCAAGCAGUCCAAGGACAGCACACUGAGAGAUCAAUGGAUACAGGCCAUCAGCAGAGAAGUGGUGAGGACCAAGAGGAGAUGAUCAUAAUUAUGUCUGCAGCAACCAUUUCAGGGAGGAGGACUUCAUCCUCUCAAAACAUGCUCAACACAAGCUUCUCAGGCCAGGAGCUGUACCAUCCCUCAGUUU
This is a long non-coding RNA of Acanthochromis polyacanthus (spiny chromis), 384 nucleotides long. RefSeq lists it as uncharacterized. Lineage: Eukaryota; Metazoa; Chordata; Actinopteri; Pomacentridae. The transcript is spliced from 3 exons. The record is from RefSeq and is a predicted model, not a curated record.